AGACGUGACGUGACAACAUGAAGACUGUGAUCGUGGCCCUUUUGGUAGUGCUGGUCGUCAGCCACAGUGAAGCUUUAAGGUGUAACUGUGGAGGCAGGGCUUAUUGUUCAAGCUCUCAGGAAACCUGCUCUGAUUCAAACCAUGUUUGUAUCAGCUUUGUGUUUCUUACCCCUGAUCUUGGCUACUUCAAGAAUUGCUACAAGGCACUUGAUUGUGCAACAUUAAUUAAUUCUGGGUUAGGAUCUGGUAGAUGUUGCCACACUGACCUGUGCAACUGAUAAAAGAACGCCGUGCAGCACAUCUGCCAAUGAAUGAAUAAUCCACUGCCAUGCAGUGUUUACUGCAUUGUCCUAAUAAAGUUUAUUCAUUUCAAA
Molecule: long non-coding RNA, 374 nt
Organism: Solea senegalensis (Senegalese sole)
Lineage: Eukaryota; Metazoa; Chordata; Actinopteri; Pleuronectiformes; Soleidae
Exons: 3
Source: RefSeq, a predicted model, not a curated record